RNAcentral lists this ribosomal RNA (392 nucleotides) under uncultured delta proteobacterium. RNAcentral's name for it is "bacterial SSU rRNA". It matches the Rfam family "Bacterial small subunit ribosomal RNA", at positions 370 to 779 of the family's 1533-position model. Lineage: Bacteria; Deltaproteobacteria. The record is from RNAcentral.
AAUGGGGGCAACCCUGACGCAGCAAUGCCGCGUGAGUGAAGAAGGCCUUCGGGUCGUAAAGCUCUUUUAUGGGGGAAGAUGAUGACGGUACCCCAUGAAUAAGCACCGGCUAACUACGUGCCAGCAGCCGCGGUAAUACGUAGGGUGCGAGCGUUGUUCGGAAUUACUGGGCGUAAAGGGCGUGCAGGCGGAUUGGCAAGCCGGAGGUGAAAGCCCGGGGCUCAACCCCGGAGGGUCUUUCGGAACUGCCAGUCUUGAGAGGGUCAGGGGCCAGCGGAAUUCCUGGUGUAGAGGUGAAAUUCGUAGAGAUCAGGAGGAACGCCGGCGGCGAAAGCGGCUGGCUGGGGCCACUCUGACGCUGAGGCGCGAAAGCGUGGGGAGCUAACAGGAUU